Molecule: ribosomal RNA, 389 nt
Filed under: uncultured bacterium
Lineage: Bacteria
Description: bacterial SSU rRNA
Rfam family: Bacterial small subunit ribosomal RNA
Source: RNAcentral
GACGAACGCUGGCGGCGUGCUUAAUACAUGCAAGUCGAGCGAGGUCCAUCUGGUGGCAACACCAGUGAAGGCCGAGCGGCGAACGGGUGAGUAACACGUGAGCAACCUGCCCCGAAGUCUGGAAUAACAUCGGGAAACCGGUGCUAAUACCGGAUCGCCCCACCCUGACCGCAUGAUCGGGUGAGGAAAGAUUUAUCGCUUCGGGAGGGGCUCGCGGCCUAUCAGCAGUUGGUGGGGUAACGGCCUACCAAGGCAUCGACGGGUAGCUGGUCUGAGAGGACGACCAGCCACACUGGGACUGAGACACGGCCCAGACUCCUACGGGGAGGCAGCAGUAGGGAAUCUUGCGCAAUGGGCGAAAGCCUGACGCAGCAACGCCGCGUGGGGGA